CAGGCAUUGGAUGCUGAGCC
Molecule: unclassified non-coding RNA, 20 nt
Filed under: Mus musculus (house mouse)
Lineage: Eukaryota; Metazoa; Chordata; Mammalia; Rodentia; Muridae
Description: oocyte_clustered_small_RNA12362
Source: RNAcentral